This is a long non-coding RNA of Ipomoea nil (Japanese morning glory), 325 nucleotides long. RefSeq lists it as uncharacterized. Lineage: Eukaryota; Viridiplantae; Streptophyta; Magnoliopsida; Solanales; Convolvulaceae. The record is from RefSeq and is a predicted model, not a curated record. The transcript is spliced from 4 exons.
UAUAAGCUUUAGCGUUAGCUCUGCCGUUGCUUGUUGCAGGAGUUUUCUUGCUGCGUUAGCAACGCGCAUCCGUUUUCUUGCUGCUAACGACGCGCAUCCGUUUUCUUGCUCCAAGAUCAGACUUUCUGCAUGUCUUCGAUCGAGUGAAAGCUAGGGCGAAAGAGGAAUAUCAUAAUUGGUUUCUUUCCCAACCAAAUGCCUUAUGAUUAUCAUUUUCCGCGUAAAUAAAGAUAAAGAAAAAACUUAGAGGAUCGCCUAAAGCUAUUGAUUUGAUAGCGGGAAAAUAGAAAGAAAUUCCUUAAUUUCUUUCUACUUUUAAUAUGAU